Molecule: long non-coding RNA, 265 nt
Filed under: Olea europaea (common olive)
Lineage: Eukaryota; Viridiplantae; Streptophyta; Magnoliopsida; Lamiales; Oleaceae
Description: long non-coding RNA (OEUR_LNC013731)
Source: RNAcentral
CCACUUGUGCGCCAAAAGUCAAGCACCCAUUGGUCUUCCACAUUCUGCAAUCAUCAUAGCCAAGUAUCUAGGGUUUGGCCUCCUGUUCCUUCAAGGUCUAUCAUAUUCAUACUAAAUAAAUAAAAAGAAAUGAGAAAUGAAAGGGAUUCACCUUCUUCUGCUGAUCGAAUCAACUUCUUCUUUUGCCGACUGUCGAAUCUACUUCACCAGUUCAGAGAGCUCACGGUUCACUACUAAGUGGUCUACGCCUUCUUCUUCCAAAAAU